GACGAACGCUGGCGGCGUGCUUAACACAUGCAAGUCGAACGGAAAGGCCCUGCUUUUGUGGGGUGCUCGAGUGGCGAAGGGGUGAGUAACACGUGUGUAACCUGCCCUUGACUUUGGGAUAACUUCAGGAAACUGGGGCUAUUACCGGAUAGAAGAUCCUGCUGCGUGUGGGGGGUUGGAGAGUUACGGCGGUUGGGGAUGGACUCGCGGCUUAUCAGCUUGUUGGUGUGGUAGUGGCUUACGAAGCCUUUGACGGGUAGCCCGCCUGAGAGGGUGAACGGGCACAAUGCGCCUGCGAUACGCCCCAGACGGCUAUGGGACGCAAUAGUGGGAAAUCUGGCACAAUGGGCGGAAGCCAGAUGCAGAAAUGCUCCGUGCGGGAUGCCGGCCUACGGGGUGUAAACCGCUUUCGACGUUGAUGAGGCGAGAGUGACGGUAAUGGGUAAAGAAGCACCGGCUAACUACGUG
This 468-nucleotide ribosomal RNA is filed under the name uncultured bacterium. RNAcentral describes it as "partial 16S ribosomal RNA". It matches the Rfam family "Bacterial small subunit ribosomal RNA", at positions 28 to 507 of the family's 1533-position model. The record is from RNAcentral.